UAAGAGGUCUAGCCUGCCCAGUGACACUAGUUCAACGGCCGCGGUAUCCUGACCGUGCGAAGGUAGCGUAAUCAUUUGUCUUUUAAAUUAAGACUCGUAUGAAAGGCACCACGAGAAUUAAACUGUCUCCUUUUUCUAAUCUAUGAAACUGAUCUCCCCGUGAAGAAGCGGGGAUUUUAAUAUAAGACGAGAAGACCCUAUGGAGCUUCAGACGAAUAACAAUGCCCUCCCCCUUUUCUUACUAAAAUACCAGGACAUUUUAAUUAUUUAGUCUUGGGUUGGGGCGACCAUGGAGUAAAAAUCACCCUCCAUGCUGAACAGGACCUCCUUAAAUAAGAGCAACAGCUCUAUGAAUCAAUAAAUUGACACAUUUGACCCAAUUACUUGAUCAACGAAACAAGUUACCCUAGG
This 411-nucleotide ribosomal RNA is filed under the name Ischnocnema parva. Its description in RNAcentral is "partial 16S ribosomal RNA". It matches the Rfam family "Bacterial large subunit ribosomal RNA", at positions 1846 to 2472 of the family's 2925-position model. Lineage: Eukaryota; Metazoa; Chordata; Amphibia; Anura; Brachycephalidae. The record is from RNAcentral.